Long non-coding RNA from Triticum dicoccoides, 2531 nucleotides. RefSeq lists it as uncharacterized. Lineage: Eukaryota; Viridiplantae; Streptophyta; Magnoliopsida; Poales; Poaceae. The transcript has 5 exons. The record is from RefSeq and is a predicted model, not a curated record.
UCUGCUCAAUCCCCUUAGCUUUCUUUACCCUAAAAAAAGUUACCCAUCCUGAGUCCUCACGUCGCCGCCGCAUCUGCCUGGAGAUCACCUCGAUCCUUCUCAUGGAGCAAGCUGAUCCUCUCCUCCCCUACAUGAUGACUACACCAUCAUGGAAACUUCUCAGAUUUAGAUGGAGAUCAUAAAUACAUGAUCUUGCUGGAGCCGCUCCUUCCAUACAUGGCUAGCUGCACCGUCGGGGCGGCCGACACGAUCCAGCGGACAUGAUGAUCCACGGAGAUCAAGAUGCUAUGUAAAUAUACCCAUCAUGAUGGCCGGCGAUUCCCCUUGGAUGAACGACUGGGGUGAUCUAGCUGAUGUGAAGAUCCACACAUAGCAAGAUGUAUAUAUGUUUGGCCAGCGGCAGAAGGUUCCUUGAUUCUUUACACCAUCAGACAAAUCAGAUCAAGUCCUUUGUGGAGGUCUGCAACAUCAGAUAAACAGAUAUUGCACACGCCCAGGUGAUCUAGCUAGGCACCGGUAACUACAUAAAAGGUACCAUCUAUUUCUCCAUAAAUUACAGCAUAUGGUCUAUAGAUUGUUAUAUAUUUUGAUCUUUUUCUUCUUUUGUAUCACACUUAGUAGGCCUGAACAGUGACAUAAGACGAUGUCUGUAGUAUGUCUGAUGCAAUUAUUUGAUACACCUUCUUUUAGAGGUAUUGUGUGAACGGAAGAUCAUGCUUAUGUAUUCAUCCUUGCUCCGCCUACUCUUUGGUUUCGGGUGAACAUUGCAGCUGUAUCACAACUUGAUCUUGAUUAGGUCGGGAAACUUUUCCGUGGAAAUCGUGGGUAAACAGAACUACAAAAGCUUGGCGGUAGAGAAAUAAUAGAACGACUUCCCUCUCAUGCUUGGACUAUGAGGUCAUGUGUGCAGACUGCUAGAAAGUUGGAGAAAUUUACAUUUAGCAGGAAGAAGGUGAAGUGCAUAUACCUUCCUAUGUACCUACACAAGCCCUGUGGUAUGUACUUCAGAUGGUAGUAUAUUUCAUUAUUUUAUGUUUAUGCUGACUUAAUUUGUGUUUAUUCCUAUGUAGUCUAUUAUUCAGAAGUUCAAUGAUUUAUACCAAUCUUAUGGACAGAAUGAUUUUUAAUAUUAAUGCCACUGUCAUUUGAAGCUUGAUACUUUGUAUGCACUCUAAUCUUCAGAAGUUGAGGUUCAUCUGCAGCUUAUACUUAGUUAGAUCUACGGGCUUCUAUGUGUAAAUUCUGGGGGAAAAAGAAUUCGGAAAGCUUGGAGCUGGAGCGCGUAGCGUGUUUUUCUUGGUGUGACGUACAUGGACAGGUUGCUGAAGAAGAACAAAAGGGAAAUUUCACAUGGGCGAGCAAGCAGUUCGGUGUUGGUGGUCGGCCAUGGUCAUUUAAUAUCCUAGAGAAGACGGUUUCGUCGCCCUCAACGUACAAAAGAAAACGACAUGAAGUUGUGGUUUUGGCAUGAUCGCCAAUGAAACUCCUUGAGUGCAUUCUUACUGGCUGCAACGUGCUCCUCGAAAAUGGAUAGUUAACGGCAGGUUGAUGCAUGCCUAGCCACAACUGGCAAAGCUGCCAUCGUCGUUAGCAGGGCAGCAAAGUUCUUGUGGCAUCGAGACUGUAAAGAAAUGAACCAAACGUUGAGACCAGAUGCAGCCGGUUAAUAAUUUAUCAUGGUUUUUGAUUAUGUGAUCUGACAAGAUGUUCGAAAUGCUAUUUCCGCAAAUGUACUGUUGUAUGCUUAACUGUCAAUGGUGUUAUGUCUCAGGGAAGGGAUGGAUAACUUGAAGGACAAGUUUGCUGAAAAGUUUGUAACUUAUUUCCAAGACAAAGGAAGUGCAGGAAGCCUGGAACACACAUGUUAAGGGAAACUGUUGACGGCACAUGUGAUGUGACCUUCAUCACCAUCGGAUCUUGGAGUGGGUGUUAUAUGUCUUCAUUGUUGACUAUCUUCAGCAGGGUCAUGUUGAUGUUAUAGGAGAAGGCAUGGAACUCCAUUGCCAUCAACUUGCAUUAGUGCGACAACCGUACUGUUCUUAGCAGCCAGUUCCAUACGGAGAUUUGCGAAGGAGGGCAGUUGGAGCCUUGAAGUACAACAACAAGCUAGUAGGGGUGUCAUUCCAGGACUCCUCUUUGUUGGAAACACCGUGAGUUGUAUCGGGGAGAAAAGGGAGAAACGAAAUUAAGAGGAAAAAGAGAGGGCACACCAUGAGCCCUUGGCUAAAAGUUUGUGUGUGUGCGUUCGUAUGAUUUUGAUGUGGUCGUUCGUGUGGACGAAUUCCAACACUCUUGGACGCUUGGUAUCCUUGGCUCUGUGUGCAAGGACGUUGACUAGGAUGUAUUGAUGCAUGGGUACACGAGAAAGAUUGGUGAAGCAAUCUUAUUUGCAGAAAACGUACAUGUUGUCUUAUAUGUGUUAUUUUCUUAUUAUGCAACCAUCAUUAAGUAUAUCUAUAUUUGAUUGGGAAAAGUAUAUCAUGGUAGUUGGAGGAUAAGUAUGAUAUUUUGCCUAAAGCAAAAUUAUAGCC